GACGAACCGUCCAAACGUUAUUCGGAAUCACUGGGCUUAAAGGGUGCGUAGGCGGCGCGGAAAGUUGGGUGUGAAAUCCCUCGGCUCAACCGAGGAACGUCGAUCGAUACUGCUGUUCUUGAGGAUUGCAGAGGAGACUGGAAUUCCCGGUGUAGCGGUGAAAUGUGUAGAGAUGCGGAGGAACACCGAUGGCGAAGGCAGCCCCCUGGGCUAACACUGACGCUCAGGCACGAAAGCGUGGGGAGCAAACAGG
This 253-nucleotide ribosomal RNA is filed under the name uncultured bacterium. Its description in RNAcentral is "partial 16S ribosomal RNA". It matches the Rfam family "Bacterial small subunit ribosomal RNA", at positions 524 to 776 of the family's 1533-position model. The record is from RNAcentral.